UUUUCUAAAACUUUAGACACGACCCACCUUUUAUUAAAACACCUUCUCCCUCAUUUUUAACACACUUCUGAUCAAAACAAGAGAGAGGGAGAGAGGGUUCUUGAGAGAGAAAUCAAAUCCUUCAUCCUCUAGUCAUUCAAAAUCAUUGGAGCUUGGAAAAUCCUUGGUGCAUUGUCUUCUCUAUUGAUUUCUCAGGUANNNNNNNNNNNNNNNNNNNNNNNNNNNNNNNNNNNNNNNNNNNNNNNCUUCUCUAUUGAUUUCUCAGGUAAAAUCCCUAACCCAUUUCCCCCAAAUUUUGAAAUUUAGCUUGGGAAGGGAACCCCAUACACUUGCUUUGAAAUUCCUUCAUAAAACCUUCAUGCAUUUCUUCAAAACUCAAAAAUCUUGUAAAAAGGAAUUGGGUAGUAACAACGAGUUUAAAUUUCUAAAACCUAAGUGUUGCUCAUGAACUAGAUAGACUUCUUGAUUGCUUGGCGAGUUGGACUAGAGGUUUAAAAGGAAUAAUCAACUCCAGCUAUGUAUGGCUAACUGUGAUCCUUGUGAAAUCGCCCUGUGUUAGUGUGAUAUUGUUGAUAGUUGAUAUUCAUGUGGCAAUUAUUGUGAUGAUUUUGUGUUGUAUAAUUGUGUGAUAACACUUUGUGGUGAAAAUUGUGGAACUUGUAAUUGGAAGAGUUUGGAAAUGGAAAUAAUGUGGAACAAUGGGAAUCAAAAUAAUGUGGGACAUUGGAAAUGGAAAUAAUAUGGAACAUUGGAAAUGUAAAUAAUGUGGGACAGUGGAAAUGGAAAUAAUGUGGAACAAUGGAAAUGGAAAUAAUGUGCAACAACGUGUGUGAUUAGUUGUGAACAACUGUUGUGAUAAUCCAAAUUGUGUACCAAUUUGAUGAACAUGAGGAAACUGUUGUUGCUAGUUCUGGGAUUUCAUUAUCCUUGUUGUGAAUCUUUUUUAAUAAUGUGCCAUAUUUGACUUCUUAUAUUUGUUGUGUUGUUUGUUGUUGUGAAUUGAAAACUGUCAGGAG
This 1016-nucleotide long non-coding RNA is filed under the name Nicotiana benthamiana. Its description in RNAcentral is "long non-coding RNA (NBEN_LNC039858)". Lineage: Eukaryota; Viridiplantae; Streptophyta; Magnoliopsida; Solanales; Solanaceae. The record is from RNAcentral.